This 492-nucleotide ribosomal RNA is filed under the name uncultured bacterium. RNAcentral describes it as "partial 16S ribosomal RNA". It matches the Rfam family "Bacterial small subunit ribosomal RNA", at positions 29 to 507 of the family's 1533-position model. The record is from RNAcentral.
AGUGAACGCUGGCGGUAGGCCUAACACAUGCAAGUCGAACGGCAGCACAGUAAGAGCUUGCUCUUACGGGUGGCGAGUGGCGGACGGGUGAGGAAUACAUCGGAAUCUACUUUUUCGUGGGGGAUAACGUAGGGAAACUUACGCUAAUACCGCAUACGACCUACGGGUGAAAGCAGGGGAUCUUCGGACCUUGCGCGAUUGAAUGAGCCGAUGUCGGAUUAGCUAGUUGGCGGGGUAAAGGCCCACCAAGGCGACGAUCCGUAGCUGGUCUGAGAGGAUGAUCAGCCAGAUUGGAACUGAGACACGGUCCAGACUCCUACGGUAGGCAGCAGUGGGGAAUAUUGGGCAAUGGGCGCAAGCCUGAUCCAGCCAUACCGCGUGGGGGAAGAAGGCCUUCGGGUUGUAAAGCCCUUUUGUUGGGAAAGAAAAGCAGCAGGUUAAUACCCCGCUGUUCUGACGGUACCCAAAGAAUAAGCACCGGCUAACUUCGUG